CCAAUCAGGAGACAGUAAAGUACAUCAAACAGAAGCUGAAUGAAAAGGGUCUGUCUGCAGAGAGGAGCCUGAACCUGCUCCACUGUCUGAACGAACUGAACGACCGCAGUCUGAUGGAGGAGAUACAGAGGAUCAUGAAGAAACGACUUCUCUCCUCGUUAACUUCUCCUGCUCACUGGUCUGCUCUGUCCCUUCUCUUACUGUCUUCAGACUCAGACCUGAUGGAGUUUGACCUCAGGAAAUACUGUUCCUCAGAGACAGCUCUCCUGAAGCUGCUGCCAGUCGUCAAAGUCUCCACCAAAGCCAUGUGAGUCCAGACUGUAUUUAAACACUUGUGUCAUGGCUCUAGUCUCUAAUCGUCCUCUCUGUCCUCAGUCUGAGCGGCUGUGGCCUGUCUCCUCUCAGCUGUGCUCCUCUGGCCUCAGUCCUCAGCUCCUCCAGUCUGACUCACCUGGAUCUCAGUAACAACGACCUCCAUGACUCAGGAGUGGAGCUGCUGUGUUCUGGACUGAAGAGCGCCCCCUGCAGACUGCACACCCUCAGGUGAGACGCUCCCAUGAUGCACUCUGUCUCUGUGUCCACAUUAGAGGCUAAUGCUGUGUGUCUUUAGUCUGUCUGGAUGUCUGGUCUCAGAGAGGGGCGGGGCUUCUCUGGCCUCAGCUCUGAGCUCCGCCCCCUUCCACCUGAGAGAGUUAGACCUGAGCUACAAUCAUCCAGGACCCUCCACCGAGCUCCUGACCGCUCUACGGGCCCCUCAGGGGCCCCUGCACUCUCUCAGGCUGGAUCCUGCUGGAGAACAGUGGAUGGUCCCAGGUCUGAUGAAGUGUGAGUAUUCCCAGUUUAUUUAUGCCUAUAGGCCUACUUAUUACAGCUCAUUAUGUAAACAAAAAAUAACAGCAGAACUCCUCAGACUCACAGGAACAGGAAGUGAUGUCAUGAGUUGUUUGUUUCCUCAGAUUCCUGUGAGUUUUCUCUGGAUCCAAACACAGCUCAGAGGAACCUCCUUCUGUCUGAGGACAAACGGACUGUGACCAGAAAGAGAAAGGAGCAGCAGUAUCCAGAUCAUGAGGACAGGUUCAUGGUCCAGCCUCAGGUCCUGAGCUCCACUGGCCUGAGGGGGCGCUGUUACUGGGAGGUGCAGUGGAGGGGGAGUGGAGAGUUGAUAUAGCAGUGAGUUACAGAGGAAUCAGACGGAGAGGAUACAAAGAGGAGAGUAGGUUUGGAGACAAUGAUCAGUCCUGGAGUCUGAGGAUCAAUGGUGGAGUUUACUCUGUCUGUCACAACAAGAGAGAAACACCCCUCUUUCCCUCCUCCUCCUCCCCUCGCUCUCGCUCAGCUGUAGUGGGCGUGUUCCUGGACUCUGAGGCUGGAGCGCUGUCCUUCUAUGAGGUCCGCUCUGGUGGAAAACUG
This 1410-nucleotide long non-coding RNA is filed under the name Neogobius melanostomus (round goby). RNAcentral describes it as "lncRNA (ENSNMLG00000023566.1)". The record is from RNAcentral. Lineage: Eukaryota; Metazoa; Chordata; Actinopteri; Gobiiformes; Gobiidae.